UCUCUUCUCAACAUUAAGGGGACUUCAUGGACUCUGAUCUUCAUCCUGAGGAUGAUGCUUUGGACUUCUGACACAGUGUUUCCCUCUGGAUCUUCGCUGUUUAGGUUUUUCUUAAUCCGUUAGUUUGCGCUUUGUACCUUCAACGGAUUUUCUUUUCUUUUUCUUUGUUUUUACUUGUUUUUGCUUUUGUUUUUGGUUUUGUAUAUAUAGAUAUAUAGUGGUCUAUAAUCGUGUGAAGUCAAAAAGGUGCGAAAUAGUGUGUAUAUAUAUUGUAUUUGGUUCAAGGAAAAGUGAAUUGUUAUCAGCAAGGGUAUGUUUGUUUCUUUGUUUGUCUUUUACCUAAACUUUAGUUCUGAUAUUAUAUGGAUCUUGAACUUGGGAAAUAUUUGAUAAUAUCUUGGACUUUGAGAGUAUUUUCACUAGUUUCAAG
This 430-nucleotide long non-coding RNA is filed under the name Salvia miltiorrhiza (redroot sage). RNAcentral's name for it is "long non-coding RNA (SMIL_LNC012157)". The record is from RNAcentral. Lineage: Eukaryota; Viridiplantae; Streptophyta; Magnoliopsida; Lamiales; Lamiaceae.